Small nucleolar RNA from Callithrix jacchus (white-tufted-ear marmoset), 104 nucleotides. The record is from Ensembl. Lineage: Eukaryota; Metazoa; Chordata; Mammalia; Primates; Cebidae.
AUUAUUUUGUAGUUCAUGAGCAUGAUGAUUGGGUGUUGACACGCUUGUGUGAGAUGUGCCACCCUUGAACUUUGUUAAGAUGCUAGCACAUUACCCGUCUGACC